Molecule: ribosomal RNA, 564 nt
Filed under: uncultured archaeon
Lineage: Archaea
Description: bacterial SSU rRNA
Rfam family: Archaeal small subunit ribosomal RNA
Source: RNAcentral
AUUUACAAUGCGGGAAACCGUGAUAAGGGAACUCCGAGUGCCCGUAAACGCGGGCUGUCCAUCUGCUUAAAAAACAGGUGAAGAAAGGGCCGGGCAAGACCGGUGCCAGCCGCCGCGGUAAUACCGGCGGCUCGAGUGGUGGCCACUAUUACUGGGCUUAAAGCGUCCGUAGCUUGGUUGUUAAGUCUCUUGGGAAAUCUCUCGGCUUAACCGACAGGCGUUUAAGGGAUACUGGCAUUCUAGGGACCGGGAGAGGUGAGAGGUACUCCAGGGGUAGGAGUGAAAUCCUGUAAUCCUUGGGGGACCACCUGUUGCGUAGGCGUCUCACCAGAACGGCUCCGACAGUGAGGGACGUAAGCUGGGGGAGCAAACCGGAUUAGAUACCCGGGUAGUCCCAGCCGUAAACGAUGCGCGUUAGGUGUAUCGGUGACCACGAGUCACCGAGGUGCCGAAGGGAAACCGUGAAACGUGCCGCCUGGGAAGUACGGUCGCAAGGCUGAAACUUAAAGGAAUUGGCGGGGGACCACCACAACAGGUGGAGCCUGCGGUUUAAUCGGACUCAAU